GUGAAUACAUAGCGUUAGGAGGCGAACCGGGAGAACUGAAACAUCUAAGUACCCCGAGGAAAAGAAAUCAACCGAGAUUUCCUUAGUAGCGGCGAGCGAACGGGAAUUAGCCCUUAAGCGGUUUGUACAUUAGUGGAAUGUGCUGGAAAGCACAGCGAUACAGGGUGAUAGCCCCGUACACGAAAAUAAACUUACCGUGAAAUCGAGUAGGUCGGGACACGAGAAAUCUUGACUGAAUAUGGGGGGACCAUCCUCCAAGGCUAAAUACUCCUAACUGACCGAUAGUGAACCAGUACCGUGAGGGAAAGGCGAAAAGAACCCCUGUGAGGGGAGUGAAAUAGAACCUGAAACCGCAUACGUACAAGCAGUGGAAGCCGGAUUUAGUCCGGUGCCUGCGUACCUUUUGUAUAAUGGGUCAGCGACUUAUGUUCUGUAGCAAGGUUAACCGAAUAGGGGAGCCGUAGCGAAAGCGAGUGUUAACUGCGCGUUUAGUUGCAGGGCAUAGACCCGAAACCCGGCGAUCUACC
Molecule: ribosomal RNA, 527 nt
Filed under: Thalassomonas sp. M1454
Lineage: Bacteria; Pseudomonadati; Pseudomonadota; Gammaproteobacteria; Alteromonadales; Colwelliaceae
Description: Bacterial large subunit ribosomal RNA
Rfam family: Bacterial large subunit ribosomal RNA
Source: Rfam by way of RNAcentral